GAUUUAUUGUUGUUGGGCAUUCUCUAUCGGGACUUUGAUGAUAAGUUGUGAGCAACCUAGUCAAGGUGGCAUUAAUUUGUCUUGCAUUUGAUAUAUGCAUUUCUUGUUGAAAUAAUAAGGGUCCUUAAUAAAGUUUGUGGAGUAGUCGUGAACCUGACUGACAAUAACAUCUGGAUAAAUUUUGGAAAUAAGCUUUAAAAGAACUGAAAAAUCACAUGAGUGUACCUGGAUCUCAUUGAAAUACUGGUGUAACUUUACUGGCGAAGUUUGCCAAUAUCUUUAUGUUGAUCAUUUUGUUGAAGAGGGACAAAAUGCUUCAAACAUCAUUUGUGGCCCUUAACUAAAUUGCUUUAGAAAGAGAGUAAAAGACAAAUUCACAUUGAAC
This 385-nucleotide unclassified non-coding RNA is filed under the name Hevea brasiliensis (rubber tree). The record is from RNAcentral. Lineage: Eukaryota; Viridiplantae; Streptophyta; Magnoliopsida; Malpighiales; Euphorbiaceae.